Oreochromis niloticus (Nile tilapia) is the source of this 328-nucleotide long non-coding RNA. RefSeq lists it as uncharacterized. The transcript has 3 exons. NCBI's taxonomy places the organism in Eukaryota, Metazoa, Chordata, Actinopteri, Cichliformes, Cichlidae. The record is from RefSeq and is a predicted model, not a curated record.
CACUUUAUUCAUUGAGUCUUCAGUGUUGAACAUCAGCUCAUGUCCCAUCACGUAUUAUGGACAGAAGUACGAGCAGCUCUAUGUGAACAUAACAUCUGGAAAUGUUGCCGUCUGUUUCAACGGCUUUUUCAGUCCUGAAACUGGAGGUGACUGUGUUGUGGAGCGUUCAGUGGGCACAGACAGUUUUUACUUUAAGAUAUAUUCAUUCCCUUCUUAUGUUGAUUAUUGCGACUUCCAGAUAUAUUUCAAAAAUAUUUAUUUGGUUCAUUAUAUCAAAGGCACAAUACCACAUCUGUACUCGUACAUUAAAAACUCUGACCCAACGGUG